Molecule: long non-coding RNA, 1012 nt
Organism: Heteronotia binoei (common prickly gecko)
Lineage: Eukaryota; Metazoa; Chordata; Lepidosauria; Squamata; Gekkonidae
Exons: 4
Source: RefSeq, a predicted model, not a curated record
CGCAAACACCCCUCUUCAGUGGGAGAAAUGGUAGCGACGGCUCCUCCUCCUUUCUUUGGUUGAUGAAAAGAUACCUCGUGGCCGGCUCUUAAUUAUUAAAUAAGGCAGCUAAUAAAGCAUAAGCGCCUCAGAGGAAAAGAGGGUUUUCCCUCUCCACAGAAAGAGCGGAAGAACGGCUGUUAAAGGUACUUUGCUCGUCCAGCAUGAUCUUCAAAGAAUUUUGGAAAAGUUACGUUUUUCAUUUUGAUUAUUUUCCCGGAAGUAUUUUCUGUUAAGGGAAUGGCAAAGGAUGGGCAAAGCUAAUCAAGUAAUCAUGUAUAUAAUGAUACAUGGUUCCCACGCCCUCACUUCAAAUAUAACAGAUGCUUUUGAGUUAUGGGAUGGAAAAUUCACUCUUUUGCUUUUCAUUUCAUUCUGAAACUGGUUCUUUGAUGAAUAAGCAAGCAGGAAAUAGAGGAUUUGCAAUGAGACACUGCGUGGAUAGACGGUAAUGAAGAUGGAUGCUGCCCUAGUUUGACAGCAGGUGUCAAUGCACUGCUGAAGAUUCUUGGCAAUGCAUGUGAAGAAUACAUACUGGACUCUGCAGCAAGAAACUGUCUUGUCCCCUGCUGUGUGGGAGGAAAGCCACACAUCAAGGGACAGCAUGCACAGAUACUGUGACAGGGCACUCAGUGGACAAUAUGCACGGCAGUUAUGACCUAGCAAUAGCCCACAAACUACUGGAACUCUAUGUACCUAGUUGACAUGGAGGAAGGGGCUAGAGGGUUUGGAGAAGUAAGAACUGGACAUUUCCAAACAGGGAUUAAGCAUAUGUUGCCAGUUUUAUAGAUUCACUUCACUGUUGAAUAAUUCUAGAAUUUUACAUUAAAAAGAAGUAUUUAUGAGACAGGAUGACUGCCAUCUCGCUUAAUAUAUUAUUUUGCUUGUUGAAAUUACUGCUGUCUUUUUAAUGAAAGAUAAAUAUUUUGAUUAAUUGUUCUUCAGUAAAUACAGUGCAACAGAUUUUUAUAAA